UCUCUCUUGGUAUAUCGGUAGAACACCACCCUGUCACGGUGGAGAGCUGGGUUCGACUCCCAGAGGGAGAG
Tulasnella sp. 403 is the source of this 71-nucleotide non-coding RNA. The record is from the annotation of a GenBank genome assembly. Lineage: Eukaryota; Fungi; Basidiomycota; Agaricomycetes; Cantharellales; Tulasnellaceae.